This is a long non-coding RNA of Poecilia reticulata (guppy), 923 nucleotides long. RefSeq lists it as uncharacterized. NCBI's taxonomy places the organism in Eukaryota, Metazoa, Chordata, Actinopteri, Cyprinodontiformes, Poeciliidae. The record is from RefSeq and is a predicted model, not a curated record.
AUGACAAGAUAACGUUACAGUUAUCCCAAAGGAAUAGCACGCUCACUUAUGUAGCCURAUAUUGAAAUCACGUUAACAGAGGGAAAGGAGGAAUAACAUAAAUAAGAAAACUUCCUGAGUGGCGCCAAAUCACGCACACGAACCCAUCCAUUGUGAGGCUAACCAUGCUAGCAAGCUAACAUCAGAAAGAAAAACUACCAGCUGAAUUUGACAAUUGGCAACAAGCUAACGCUAGCUGCACAUGCUACUGCAAGCAAMGCUGUGAAAUUCAGCAGUCAUAAGCAACGGGUUCACUCAUCUCCCCAUUGAAGUUUCACUCUUCUGAGAUUGRACUCCAGCAAUAUUUGCCGGGRUGGGAAACCCAAACUGCCCUCUUUUCUGAGACAUCACACCUGAACUCCUUCUCUUCCAGAUAGAGACAACUUCAGACCUUCAUUUAUCAGAUCUAGGCACAACAACAGAACAUCUCUGGGCCUGCAGAGAGGCCCCAGCUGCCUCUGAAUUUCUUCACAGCCUGAAAUGAAACUCGAGCACACAGAAUUUGUUUCGGUAUGUCAUUUAUUUUAUAAAACUGGAAUGCAUUUAACAAAAGGUUUAAGUACCUCCAUUAGUGUUUAGGAUUGUACCAAUUUAACACAGGCAGCGUGCUACAGAACACACAAAGCUAUUGCACACAAGACAUUUCAUACCACACAGAAAAUCAUACACACUGUACAAAGAUACAACAUAAUUACACAUUGCUAUUUAUAAUAUUUGUCAUACAAAAACAUCGACAUACACUGAAAAUCAUACAGAUUAAAACACUGUUCCAUCCAAAAGGGGUAAAAAAAAAAGGGCGAAUUUAAACAUCACUGAAGCUGCCAAAGUGCUUUUCACCAUUUCUACUUGGCUGUCUAAAUGCAAAUGUUACUCUUAAAAAAAAA